Molecule: non-coding RNA, 73 nt
Organism: Potamilus streckersoni
Lineage: Eukaryota; Metazoa; Mollusca; Bivalvia; Unionida; Unionidae
Source: the annotation of a GenBank genome assembly
GCUCCGGUGGCCUAGUGGUUAGAGCGUCCACCUUGGAUGUGGGAGAUGGUGGGUUUAAUCCCCGGUCGAGUCA